UAACAAGGAUUCCCCUAGUAACGGCGAGUGAACGGGGAGAAGCCCAGCGCUGAAUCUUUCGGUGUUACACCGUUAAGAAAUGUAGCGUAUAGGUGUGAUUUUCAGUUUGUGCUACAUGUCCAAAGUCCCUUUGAUAGGGGCCACAUUCCCGAGAGGGUGCGAGACCUGUGCGGACAGUGGAGCAAGCUGUAUGAUCAUACUUUGGAGUCGGGUUGCUUGAAAGUGCAGCCUAAAGUGGGUGAUAAACUUCAUCUAAGGCUAAAUAUAGACGCGAAUUCGAUAGCAAACAAGUACUGUGAAGGAAAGUUGCAAAGAACUUUGAAGAGAGAGUUCAAGAGAACGUGAAAUCGCUGGAGUGGAACCGGAGAGAGUUGACGUAGUCCGGUAAC
This 389-nucleotide ribosomal RNA is filed under the name Nippostrongylus sp. DNUS-2012-08-02-SM129a. RNAcentral's name for it is "LSU rRNA". It matches the Rfam family "Eukaryotic large subunit ribosomal RNA", at positions 66 to 446 of the family's 3401-position model. The record is from RNAcentral. Lineage: Eukaryota; Metazoa; Nematoda; Chromadorea; Rhabditida; Heligmosomidae.